GGGUGCGCGUGCUAUACUGCAGUCGACGCUUCUUUUUCCCCGGAGCUUGCUCCACCGGAAAAAGAGGAGUGGCGAACGGGUGAGUAACACGUGGGUAACCUGCCCAUCAGAAGGGGAUAACACUUGGAAACAGGUGCUAAUACCGUAUAACAAUCAAAACCGCAUGGUUUUGAUUUGAAAGGCGCUUUCGGGUGUCGCUGAUGGAUGGACCCGCGGUGCAUUAGCUAGUUGGUGAGGUAACGGCUCACCAAGGCCACGAUGCAUAGCCGACCUGAGAGGGUGAUCGGCCACAUUGGGACUGAGACACGGCCCAAACUCCUACGGGAGGCAGCAGUAGGGAAUCUUCGGCAAUGGACGAAAGUCUGACCGAGCAACGCCGCGUGAGUGAAGAAGGUUUUCGGAUCGUAAAACUCUGUUGUUAGAGAAGAACAAGGAUGAGAGUAACUGUUCAUCCCUUGACGGUAUCUAACCAGAAAGCCACGGCUAACUACGUGCCAGCAGCCGCGGUAAUACGUAGGUGGCAAGCGUUGUCCGGAUUUAUUGGGCGUAAAGCGAGCGCAGGCGGUUUCUUAAGUCUGAUGUGAAAGCCCCCGGCUCAAC
This 600-nucleotide ribosomal RNA is filed under the name Enterococcus faecium. RNAcentral describes it as "bacterial SSU rRNA". It matches the Rfam family "Bacterial small subunit ribosomal RNA", at positions 38 to 613 of the family's 1533-position model. The record is from RNAcentral. Lineage: Bacteria; Bacillati; Bacillota; Bacilli; Lactobacillales; Enterococcaceae.